AUCUCUGAGAACUUUUGGAUACCCAGAACCCAACUGUCAAAAUACAUAAGAUGAAGUAUGGAUGAAUCAGAAUCAGAGGUAAGCCUGGCCUUCAGAUUCUAGAGAAGGCUUUUGUUUCCCCAAGUUAGGGUGGAACCCAUGAGCUGAAGCCUGUGAAACCAGAAGACAAGAAAAGUAUUUCAGCAGCCAGUGGUCUACGUAGGGAAGAAUAUAGAACCUGUGUCAAUUGGGCCAAGAUGUCUUGGAUUUCAGACACUCUUAAGACUUUGUACUUCAGGAAAGGAUAAAAGAUUAAUCUGAAAAGGGAUGGGUAAGAUCUCCUGGCAAAGAAUGGGAGUCCCAAUUGGAAAUGGGGAGAAAUGUGGAGUGUAUGCAUUUCCAAAUACUGAGCACAAGCAAAUGGUCCUCAUCAGGUAGGGUGGAUUUUGCCCAAAAAUAGUAUUAUUAUUUGUUCUAUUAUUUUUAAGCAUGAAAAAUGAAUUUAGGGUCAGCUAUUUAGAAUUUGGGAAUGCACUCUAUGGGCUGAUUUUCUAGCAAAGAGAAAAUGGAUUAUGAUGAUGUGCCAUUUUGGG
This 572-nucleotide long non-coding RNA is filed under the name Pan troglodytes (chimpanzee). RNAcentral's name for it is "long non-coding RNA NONPTRT017912". The record is from RNAcentral. Lineage: Eukaryota; Metazoa; Chordata; Mammalia; Primates; Hominidae.